This 492-nucleotide ribosomal RNA is filed under the name uncultured bacterium. RNAcentral's name for it is "bacterial SSU rRNA". It matches the Rfam family "Bacterial small subunit ribosomal RNA", at positions 30 to 518 of the family's 1533-position model. The record is from RNAcentral.
AUUGAACGCUGGCGGCAUGCCUUACACAUGCAAGUCGAACGGUAACGGGCCUUCGGGUGCCGACGAGUGGCGAACGGGUGAGUAAUGCAUCGGAACGUACCUUUCAGUGGGGGAUAACGUAGCGAAAGUUACGCUAAUACCGCAUAUUCUGUGAGCAGGAAAGCAGGGGAUCGCAAGACCUUGCGCUGAUUGAGCGGCCGAUGUCAGAUUAGCUAGUUGGUGAGGUAAAGGCUCACCAAGGCGACGAUCUGUAGCGGGUCUGAGAGGAUGAUCCGCCACACUGGAACUGAGACACGGUCCAGACUCCUACGGGAGGCAGCAGUGGGGAAUUUUGGACAAUGGGGGCAACCCUGAUCCAGCCAUGCCGCGUGAGUGAAGAAGGCCUUCGGGUUGUAAGCUCUUUCGGCCGGGAAGAAAUCGUAUGGGUUAAUACCCUGUGCGGAUGACGGUACGGCAUAAGAAGCACCGGCUAACUACGUGCCAGCAGCCGAC